This 831-nucleotide ribosomal RNA is filed under the name Escherichia coli. RNAcentral's name for it is "partial 23S ribosomal RNA". It matches the Rfam family "Bacterial large subunit ribosomal RNA", at positions 418 to 1251 of the family's 2925-position model. Lineage: Bacteria; Pseudomonadati; Pseudomonadota; Gammaproteobacteria; Enterobacterales; Enterobacteriaceae. The record is from RNAcentral.
CGGGACACGUGGUAUCCUGUCUGAAUAUGGGGGGACCAUCCUCCAAGGCUAAAUACUCCUGACUGACCGAUAGUGAACCAGUACCGUGAGGGAAAGGCGAAAAGAACCCCGGCGAGGGGAGUGAAAAAGAACCUGAAACCGUGUACGUACAAGCAGUGGGAGCCUCUUAAUGGGGUGACUGCGUACCUUUUGUAUAAUGGGUCAGCGACUUAUAUUCUGUAGCAAGGUUAACCGAAUAGGGGAGCCGAAGGGAAACCGAGUCUUAACUGGGCGUUAAGUUGCAGGGUAUAGACCCGAAACCCGGUGAUCUAGCCAUGGGCAGGUUGAAGGUUGGGUAACACUAACUGGAGGACCGAACCGACUAAUGUUGAAAAAUUAGCGGAUGACUUGUGGCUGGGGGUGAAAGGCCAAUCAAACCGGGAGAUAGCUGGUUCUCCCCGAAAGCUAUUUAGGUAGCGCCUCGUGAAUUCAUCUCCGGGGGUAGAGCACUGUUUCGGCAAGGGGGUCAUCCCGACUUACCAACCCGAUGCAAACUGCGAAUACCGGAGAAUGUUAUCACGGGAGACACACGGCGGGUGCUAACGUCCGUCGUGAAGAGGGAAACAACCCAGACCGCCAGCUAAGGUCCCAAAGUCAUGGUUAAGUGGGAAACGAUGUGGGAAGGCCCAGACAGCCAGGAUGUUGGCUUAGAAGCAGCCAUCAUUUAAAGAAAGCGUAAUAGCUCACUGGUCGAGUCGGCCUGCGCGGAAGAUGUAACGGGGCUAAACCAUGCACCGAAGCUGCGGCAGCGACACUAUGUGUUGUUGGGUAGGGGAGCGUUCUGUAAGCCUG